GAUGAACGCUGGCGGCGUGCCUAAUACAUGCAAGUCGAGCGAACGGACGAGAAGCUUGCUUCUCUGAUGUUAGCGGCGGACGGGUGAGUAACACGUGGAUAACCUACCUAUAAGACUGUGAUAACUUCGGGAAACCGGAGCUAAUACCGGAUAAUAUUUUGAACCGCAUGGUUCAAAAGUGAAAGACGGUCUUGCUGUCACUUAUAUAUGGAUCCGCGCUGCAUUAGCUAGUUGGUAAGGUAACGGCUUACCAAGGCAACGAUGCAUAGCCGACCUGAGAGGGUGAUCGGCCACACUGGAACUGAGACACGGUCCAGACUCCUACGGGAGGCAGCAGUAGGGAAUCUUCCGCAAUGGGCGAAAGCCUGACGGAGCAACGCCGCGUGAGUGAUGAAGGUCUUCGGAUCGUAAAACUCUGUUAUUAGGGAAGAACAUAUGUGUAAGUAACUGUGCACAUCUUGACGGUACCUAAUCAGAAAGCCACGGCUAACUACGUG
RNAcentral lists this ribosomal RNA (497 nucleotides) under uncultured bacterium. RNAcentral's name for it is "partial 16S ribosomal RNA". It matches the Rfam family "Bacterial small subunit ribosomal RNA", at positions 28 to 507 of the family's 1533-position model. The record is from RNAcentral.